AGAACCGGAGUAACAUUGAAAACCCCUUUUUGGAGUUGCAUAAGCAGAGCAACGCAGUCGCUUUUUUGGCGUUUUUUCUUCUUCUUUUAGACAAACCUUAAUCGUCGAAGAUGCCAAAGUCCAAGCAGAACAAAAUAGCAAAGUGAGAGUUCCAAAGAGUAUGUUGUUUACUUGGUCGAUGCUUCUCCGAAAAUGUUCAACACGACAUGUCCUGGUAAUGACCAAAAGGAUGAAACUCAUUUCCACGCCGCUGUCAGCUGUAUUGCUGGAUCACUCAAGACUCAAAUCAUUAGUAGAUCGUAUGAUGAAGUUGCAAUUUGCUUCUUUAACACUGUAAGUUUUCAAAUAAAAAGCAUUUUCAUUUGUAUAUCUCAAUUUGGUUUUGCCACAAUCACACAUGGAAUCAAAAGAAUAGGUAGGAAUGCACAUAGAACACCAAGUAGCUGCCUUUGUUGGUCAAUAGUUUCCAUCAAUGUGGGAUAACUACUCCUAGUUUGCUAUAUUUUCUAUACCAACGUCAACUAGUAAAUUGGGUUUACUAGCAAAAUAUACCACAUCUAUUUGCAGGGAUUGGACUUAUUUUCUAUAUGUUUAUUAAAGGACUUGUCUAUUUGCGGAGAUUGUACUUAUUUUCUGUGUGUUUAUUCCGACCAGUUGACAUUGGUAAAACUUGGACAAGUUUCCAUCAAAUAGAUGAGUCCUUGGAAUCUCAAUUGACCUUCUCCCUUUGAGUCAUCCAGAUUCAGAGUUCAAUGUUUCUACCUUCUAUGCUGUAUGUUUAUUCAUUCAUGUUGUGUUUUCUUGUGUUUAUUCAUUAUCAUGCACUGGUAUAGAUGCGUGUUGGUCAGUGGUCACAUGUUAUGGAAUUGAAUUAGAUUGUACUGACUGUAACAAUAUAUACUUAUCAUGUUCAAAAAAGCACAACACGUAGUAUAACGAGCUUUUGUUGUUGGAUGCUAAUUAGGAGUCCACUCUUCUUUCUUAUGACACAAGAGUUGGCUACUUUCUGCUUAUAUCUGAUUCACUUUUCUAA
Long non-coding RNA from Gossypium raimondii (Peruvian cotton), 1033 nucleotides. RefSeq lists it as uncharacterized. The transcript is spliced from 3 exons. Lineage: Eukaryota; Viridiplantae; Streptophyta; Magnoliopsida; Malvales; Malvaceae. The record is from RefSeq and is a predicted model, not a curated record.